AGAAAUGAACAUUGUUUUGCUCAUUAGCAGUUGGUAGAUAAUGAUGUUAAAUCAUGUGACGUAAUUUGAUAUGCUAGUUCCCUUAGAUGGGAACACUAUCAUGCAUGUAUACAACUUUCCAGUGAAGCAAAUAAGAAGAGAAACCUUUGUUUGAGUUAAUGAAUUAAAAACUAUUUGAAAGUGGUGUGUAGAACAGUAUAAAUCAGAGAGAUGACAACCGAAGUUACAUAGUCACAACCUUUCGAAAACUUAAAAGAAUUAUUCGAUAACGUGGGUAAUUUGAAACCAUGACCGGAAAUUGAAUAACUACGAGAUUCAACUGAUUAUGUGUACAGUGGUUUAGAAAUAAGCGCAGAAAGAACGCAGUUAGAAAAAUUGGAUAGAGAAGUACAUCCUAAAACGUUGCUUCGUCAUGAUAUGAAAGGUGGCUGCCUAGAAGACAGGUAAUAGAAAUCGCUAUAUUUAUCAAUUCAUAUAUUAUACAUAAUAUACCCGUGAUUUUUCAGAUUUAUAUAUCGAUCAGAAUCUUAUGAUUCUUACCUAUUUUAUCACUGGAGUGUUAUUGACACGUUUGUGUAUUUUAGUCAUCAUUUCAUAAUUGCGCCACCUUUUGGAUGGAUUAAUGUAGCACAUAAUCAUGGUGUAAAAGUUCUUGGUACUGUAAUUACGGAAAGAGAGAAGGUACCUGGGAUGUAAUACUUGAAUCUCAGGAAGAAGUAAGAAGAUUUGCAGAUGCAUUAAUACUUGUUGCAAAAUUUUAUAAAUUCGAUUUUAUAAGUCUGGUUGUUAAAUAUUGAAAAUACCAUUAAAAAGAUUUCUUUUUAAACUGCGAUGGCAUUUACUUGAAUUAUAACUGGACGAAAUCAAAAUUGGAAAACGGUUUGGCACUUGCAAAAAAUCACAGCAGAGAUAUUCAUGAUAUUUAUGUAGGACUUGAUAUUUGGGGAAGAUGUUGUCCUGGUGGUGGUGGAUUUAAUUCAACAUAUGCUUUACAAAAAAUACGACACGAAGGACUUUCUGUCGCGCUUUUUGGUCCAGGUUGGACUCACGAAUUUUUCGUAUCUAAGACAUUCGAAGAAAUAGAAGAUCUAUUUUGGGCACAGUUGUUUCCUUAUUUAUAUGUUCAUGUACCUAUCUACGAAGAAGAAGUAUUCAAAACAUCAUUUUGCCGUGGCAGUGGUAGCUUGUAUUAUCGCUGUGGUCAGGUACAUUAAAUAUCUCACAUUAUUUUUAACAAACUGAAUUUAUCAUAAAAGAUAUAACUUAGAAAACACGAAGUUGGCACCCUGCUGGGGGUAGCCACCCACACGAUAUGUUUAUUUUUAUUUUAUUUUUUUUAUUACCGAUGAGAUAUAACACUUUACCAAAUGUCCUUCAGGACAAAUUGUAAAAACCAAAAUAAACCAUAUAUAUAUUUAUUCAUUUAUAUAUAAAAACUGAAUUUAUUACAUGAAUAUAUUAUAACUGAAAUGUACAUAUUUUAUGCAGGCACUAUAUGAAAAGGAUGGGAAAAGAUUUAAACACAAAUCAUUUUACAAUUUAUCCCUGCAAAAUCCACAAAUAUCAGUACCUAUACCGCACAUGAAAUUUACAUCAUCGCCUCAACUUCCAGAACCGAAAAGUGAAAACGAUCGAAAUGAGUGUUCAAAAGAACCGAUACAAUAUGUUUAUGAAACGAGGAAGAAUGUUAUUCGAGUAUUAAAAAAUGUUGUAAAUAUUGAAAAUAAAAUGCCAAUGCAUCGAACUGUCAGAAUUUGAUAUCUUUGUCCACGGGGAUAAGACCACUGAGACAACAGUAACAACAUAGAGAUCGUCCUCCAGACCAUAAAUAAUAAUAAUCUUUAAAAUUGCUACAGGACAAACACCGAAUCUUUCGCACCUUAGAUCGGCUGAAGAAGCGCUUCGGCACUCUAUGUUACUCUAUCCCAUCGGUCAUCGAACACGGCAAGGGAUAUAGAGCCAUAAAAAUGCUUAUCAGCAAGGCCUCUGACAGAUCCCGAGUUCUCUGCACUCAGAGAAUUAAAGAUUCCAAAACCACGUUUCCGCAAGUAAGACGAAUGCUAUACCUCUUGAUCGGCGCCCUCAAAUUUUCUUCGGACGAUUCUCACCGUCUUCCAUAGUUGAAUAACCUCCUC
Molecule: long non-coding RNA, 2135 nt
Organism: Bombus pascuorum
Lineage: Eukaryota; Metazoa; Arthropoda; Insecta; Hymenoptera; Apidae
Exons: 3
Source: RefSeq, a predicted model, not a curated record